CUAGUACCCUCCCCUGGACUGGUAUUACAGCCGAGACAGACAGGGGGCCCUUUCUACCUAGUGCCCUCCCCUGGACUGGUAUUACAGCCGAGACAGACAGGGGGCCCUUUCUACCUAGUACCCUCCCCUGGACUGGUAUUACAGCUGAGACAGACAGGGGCCCUUUCUACCUAGUACCCUCCCCUGGACUGGUAUUACAGCCGAGACAGACAGGGGGCCCUUUCUACCUAGUACCCUCCCCUGGACUGGUAUUACAGCUGAGACAGACAGGGGGCCCUUUCUACCUAGUACCCUCCCCUGGACUGGUAUUACAGCCGAGACAGACAGGGGGCCCUUUCUACCUAGUACCCUCCCCUGGACUGGUAUUACAGCUGAGACAGACAGGGGGCCCUUUCUACUCAGGCACAGGGAGGGGCAGCUCAGAACCUUUGUGGUCCUGAGUGAUUCUCUGCCACAACAACUAACAUGGAUUAAAAAAAGGAAAGUGUAACAAUGGUCCUUCUGUGUUAGUGGCUGAAAAUGUCAGGUCUUCCUCUUCUGAUGCUAUGAUGCCCAGUUCUGUCUGUGGGUAGUCUGGUGCUGGGAGGUUACUAGGCUUCACAGACAACAGUCUGGUGCUGUGAGGUUACUAGGCUUCACAGACAACAGUCUGGUGCUGGGAGGUUACUAGGCUUCACAGACAACAGUCUGGUGCUGUGAGGUUACUAGGCUUCACAGACAACAGUCUGGGGCUGGGAGGUUACUAGGCUUCACAGACAACAGUCUGGUGCUGGGAGGUUACUAGGCUUCACAGACAACAGUCUGGUGCUGUGAGGUUACUAGGCUUCACAGACAACAGUCUGGGGCUGGGAGGUUACUAGGCUUCACAGACAACAGUCUGGUGCUGGGAGGUUACUAGGCUUCACAGACAACAGUCUGGUGCUCUGAGGUUACUAGGCUUCACAGACAACAGUCUGGUGCUGUGAGGUUACUAGGCUUCACAGACAACAGUCUGGGGCUGGGAGGUUACUAGGCUUCACAGACAACAGUCUGGUGCUGGGAGGUUACUGGGCUUCACAGACAAGUCUGGUGCUGGGAGGUUACUAGGCUUCACAGACAACAGUCUGGUGCUGGGAGGUUACUAGGCUUCACAGACAACAGUCAGACUUCCUGUCUGUAAGCGUCCCCAUGUUCAGAAUUAUAUUUGUAUUAUUCUCACUAGUCUUUAUUUACACAUUUAAUAUUUCUUGGGAGCUGCUUGUGUCUGGAUGGUGUGCUAACCUGUUUGACAUUAUAAUAAUGUAAUAUAAUUUAUAUCGUUUGUAUUAUUCUAACAUAAUAUUGUGGGUCUUUUUAUUCUGUAAUUUCUUCCUGGGGG
Oncorhynchus tshawytscha (Chinook salmon) is the source of this 1357-nucleotide long non-coding RNA. The record is from Ensembl. Lineage: Eukaryota; Metazoa; Chordata; Actinopteri; Salmoniformes; Salmonidae.